This 20-nucleotide ribosomal RNA is filed under the name Schizophyllum amplum. RNAcentral describes it as "Auriculariopsis ampla partial 28S ribosomal RNA". Lineage: Eukaryota; Fungi; Basidiomycota; Agaricomycetes; Agaricales; Schizophyllaceae. The record is from RNAcentral.
ACUUGACCUGCGCCGACUAU